UUUUUGUUGGUAUCAUACUAAGGAAAUACCUCCGAACCAUAUUAACCGACCUGUUGCAACACUGCUCACUGAUAUGGAUAGUAAGAUAAUAUAUUGGAAUGUUUUGUAACAAAGACAAAUGGAACGUAUCAAGAAAACUAGUCAUCAUUUGAACUGAUAAAACAACAGAAUUGGCGUUUUACUGAGGGGAAUAUUUUAAAGGGAAGGAAGAUUAAGAAGAAGAGUAGCUGCUGCUUCAGCAAGAGAUAACAGGGAUCCUAGUACAACACUAAAUACCAAAGGACGAUGGAAGCGAGGACGGUGUGGCAUCACUGCUAGUCGACUGGAGGAAAGGUCAAUGGUCUCUGGGGUCAACCACCUAUUCAACAUAAGCAGGAGGACUAAGGGCUGAUUGUUGUGCUCAAAGGAGAGAGGGGGGUUUCAU
Non-coding RNA from Salmo salar (Atlantic salmon), 424 nucleotides. The record is from RefSeq and is a predicted model, not a curated record. Lineage: Eukaryota; Metazoa; Chordata; Actinopteri; Salmoniformes; Salmonidae.